GACUAGCCAAUUUCAUCCCAGUAGUUUAGCUAACUGCCCAAAUGACCAUUGCCUGACACUCAUUUUUUUAUACAUUCCUCCUUGGAAUCCAAAAAUUUUCCAUUAUUUAUCAACCACAUUUUAAAAUUUACUAUAUGCCUAAAGGGUGCAAAAGUGUAGGUGACCUGCAAUGAUGUGUUUUUAAAAUAGUUGAACCUCCUAUUCAUCUUACUCUGGAAUCUUUUAAUAUUUUUACCCUCAAAUCUAUAGAAUACCAUAUUUUUCAUGUAGGAAAGGAGAAAUUGUCCAGUAAAAUAAGGAGAGUGCUGAAUGGUAUUGAACCUCUAAGUUACUGAAGUUACAGGUGGUAGGAGCUGACCCCAGACAAUACCAAUAAACAAUAGUAGUAACAGGUAAAAUGUUUUGCAUUCUAAGAACGUCAUGUGGAUUGAGUCACAUAAUCCUCAUUAAAAAAUUCUUACUAUCCCCAUUUCACAGAUGGGGAAACUGAGGCAUGCAGAGGCGAAGUAUCUUACUCAAGUUCCCUUGGGAAGUAGUAUGGCAGUGGUAUUGAUGUGUGUCAGAUAUUGGUUACUUUGCUUGCACAACCUCUGGCUCCCCUGCUCCCCAUACUCCCAUGCACUCUAGGCUGAGCCCUUGCAGCUCCACAUGUCCACGUACAUUAGACUCUUACCUUCCCUCUGAGGCAGCUGGCGAUUAGAUCUACGAAUGGAUCAUCUCCAGGCUGGACUGAGCCAGCAUGUCCUUUCACCUGAGGCUGCUGGACUUCUCUCAGGGUUGGGGUGGCCCACAGGCACCUGAGCGAGGAGAAGAGGCCAGUAGGCUGACACAGAAGAAUCACCGAAGAGACCAGUGGGGAUGAGAGGACUCUUGGAGAGAAGGAAAGAGGAAACUGUCCUCGGUGUUUUGCACCCCCAGUUCUUCAUGGGGAGACCUAGCUGCUCUGUACUUCUUGCAGUUGAGUUUCCUAGAAGACCCCUAAGGCUUUCCUCUAAAACCUUUUUCUGUUUUUUCUUAGAUUUUUUUGAGUGUCUGAGUGAGAUUCUGCUAUAUACGACCAAGUGAUUUUUAAGAAAAUUGUGAUUCUUCUUUGAGGAACUUCCAUUCUGCUUCACCCCAGACCACUCUGAAUUGAUACACUAGACUAUGUCUUUGUUCAUGGGUUUCCAAAACAUCUAUUUUAUUCCCCCAGCACUGAUACUGUCAUCAAGAGGCAGGGUUGCCAAAGGCUAAAAACAGACGCCAAGUACUGCUUAGUAUGGACAAGAAUGGGAACGACUCUUUCAGACAGCAUAUGUCAGGGAUGAUUGAAUGAUUUCAAGAUACGGCAGUGGGCUUCUCCCAAAAUAGACAGAGAAGGAGGAGACCACAAGAGAGUGUGCCUAUCAAGAGGUAAGAUCACUGGGGACCAUCCUCCAGAACAAGUGGAAGGGAAGGAAGGAAGGAACAUUGGAAGUGAGUCGGGCAGGCUAUGAGAAG
Molecule: non-coding RNA, 1479 nt
Organism: Manis javanica (Malayan pangolin)
Lineage: Eukaryota; Metazoa; Chordata; Mammalia; Pholidota; Manidae
Source: RefSeq, a predicted model, not a curated record